RNAcentral lists this non-coding RNA (25 nucleotides) under Arabidopsis thaliana (thale cress). Lineage: Eukaryota; Viridiplantae; Streptophyta; Magnoliopsida; Brassicales; Brassicaceae. The record is from RNAcentral. RNAcentral also lists the same sequence under 12 other names.
AUGUGAUUUCUGCCCAGUGCUCUGA